Long non-coding RNA from Triticum aestivum (bread wheat), 2002 nucleotides. RefSeq lists it as uncharacterized. NCBI's taxonomy places the organism in Eukaryota, Viridiplantae, Streptophyta, Magnoliopsida, Poales, Poaceae. The transcript has 3 exons. The record is from RefSeq and is a predicted model, not a curated record.
GCUGAAAGAAAAUUUUGCCGUACGCGCAGCGGGUGUUCGUCGCCAAACACCAAUGCUCCUCUUUCUUCUUCCUACAUUCCAGCGUGAGAGCAAGAGAGAGCUAGGGUUAGACCCGAACAUGUCCGGCCGCUUCGACUGUGUUGCGCACGGCCUUGCCAACGUCUGGCUCAAGCGCGAGGCCUUCGUCACGUUCCCCAUUGCCAAUUACCACUCGCUGCAGCCUCGCUGGCACAUGGCCAGAAGCAGCAGCAGCACGAGCCCGCCGGUGCCGGCUGUGCCAUCUGGUUGUCGGACUUCGUCGAUGGCGAACAAGGUGCUUGAUAAAAUGACCACCAUAAGAAGAAGAAGGUACGAGGGGAGAGAGGAAGGACAUGAUGAGGUGGCAGUCAACAGGAAUACCAGGGUCAAAACCAUGCUAACUCAGGGCAAAUACCACUUUGAGUUGGGGGAGGGACGGAACUUAUCCGGUUUCAAGAGUUAAAGGUGCAAAUUGUCUGGUUUCAGAAUUGAGGGAUCAAAUUUAGACUUCACCCAAAGUUCAGGGAUGAAAAGUAUACUUUUCUCUUUUGUUAUUGUACCAAUUGUGUACGUUUUGUGAUGGUAUGCUCUCUUUCAGGUUGCUAAGGCUAAGCCACAUGGACCUCCAGCAGUUAUAUGGAGUCUUGGCUGUACAGUUUUGGAGAUGCUGACCGCCAAAGUUCCAUACCCUGAUAUGGAAUGGACACAUGCUUUGCUCAAAAUUGGUAGGGGAAUACCACAAAAAAUUCUCAAUACGUUAUCAGAAGAUGCCCGGUAUUUCAUAGCAAAGUGUGUUCAAGCAAACCAAAAGGACCGGCCAUCUGCUGCUCAGCUGUUGGAGCACCCUUUUGUGAAGAGACCACUGCAACAUUAAGGCGUGCGAUGUACAUAUUGCUAACACAUUUGCUUGUACAUAAGCUGCUUUUAAUUUCGCAUGUGGAAAGGUGUGGGUGAUACCGAGGAGUGAAGAUGAUCCUACAGCCCAAAAGUGUUCCUUGUUCACGCUCCCGCUUUAAUUGUUUCCCGGAGAUUUCAACAUUGAGAUAGCUAGCUUCCAACAUGAGGAGCACCUAUCGGCAUUCAGUUGAAAGGUAGCUCUGAAAUAUGAGUGAGAUAUGUUUACUUAAGAGGUACCUUGUUGUUGGCUGAUAGGAUUUGUUUCUCAUGGAGCCCGUAGCCUAGUCUCAGAGUGUGGAAUGAAAGAUUUACAGUGUGGGGUGCUAAGCGCUCACACAACAGUUCACUCUUCGACCGUGUUUACAUACCUGUACAGUUCACUUACUGUUGCCAAUGCAAACUGAUCCUAUUGUCCAUGUUGUUAACUACUCCCUCCGUUCCAGAAUAGAAUAAGUGCCUGAGGUAAAACCACGCCACGCGGCACUUAUUUUGGAAUGGAGGGACUAUUUGACUGUGAUCUUGCUCCAUACCUGUACAGUUCAGUUCCUAUGGAAAUACAAUCUGUUUCUACCACAGAAGGUCCAGAAUCUCAGUGUCUAUGUCAUAUAUAGCACGAGAUGCGCAUACACGGCCAUGUAUGCAGAUUUGCUUAGAAGAUCUGCAGUGCUACUUCUGGCCUGCUCAUCAAAAGAUUCAUCUCAUCACCUAUUGUAUUACUGUACAUGUUGGAUCCUUUUCAGUUUUCACGAUACCCAAAGAACUAAAGAUACAACAAAUUUCUAAUCUACUAUUGGUUAUUUUCCUCUUAUGUUCUCAUGGAUGCAAGCAAAGCAGUAGCCUCUAUAGAUGUUUGAUCCUUUUCGUCUUACUCCAAAUACACCUGAUCAUGGACGUCGUGAUUAAGGCAUGGCCCCAAACAGCAGCCGUGUACAAGGAGACUAUUUCUGCCUUUCUGGUGUCGCUCAUUCCUAACAUUUUUUUUCCAAACCAACCUAUGGAGAAGGCCUUUUUGUUUCUCUUGUAACGCAAACCAGGGAAAUGCUUGUUUGGGUGUAUCUUUUUGUUUGCACCAUGUUCUCUUCUUACC